Molecule: long non-coding RNA, 4834 nt
Organism: Cephus cinctus (wheat stem sawfly)
Lineage: Eukaryota; Metazoa; Arthropoda; Insecta; Hymenoptera; Cephidae
Exons: 9
Source: RefSeq, a predicted model, not a curated record
UGGAUUCUAAGGAUCGCGUCGAUCGAAUAGCGCUGUUCCAGAAGUCAUUGGCGUUGGGUAGCUGGAAGUGCUUCAAGAAGUUUUGAUAAUAGGACAGACUUGUAACUUGAUACAUUUGUAAAAUUAUCUCUUGGCACGACUAAUGGCGGAUGACCAGUGAAAGUGCUGAUUGUGAAGGAUAUACAAGACUGAUCAACAGUGCUUCUGGAUUUUUUAACGUCCGCCCACUAAUUCUAUGAUAUCGUGACGCGCUUUGGAUUAUACGGAAAGUGAUAUUUUUCGCGAAAUGGUGAGUAGAAUUCAACCUAUUGUCUUGUCACGCCACAGCUGUAUCAAUAGCACUGUGCCCGCAAUUAAUCUUCGACGCGAUAACCUAAAAAUCAUUUUGGCCUGAUACACAGAAAAUUAAUUAUUUCCUAUAAUUUCUUUUAAUUUUAAAAUAUUUCACACGGUUCGAAAUCUCUGCGUACGAAAUUUUACCGUUAAAAUUUCCUUUGGCGUUGCCCUAUUGGGGAAAGACGAAAAUACUAACAGAAAGGUAGGGUGAAGCAAAGAAGAAAAAUAACAAAGAACCGAUCGUUGACGGGAAUUUUUCCGGUUAUAAAUUUUCCGUUCUUUCUUGUUUUUUCCCUAUUGUCCUUGUUUUCUGAGAACUCGCAUAAAUUUUAUACAAUACACACACAUUCUCAUUGUCAUGGAAAUCGGAAAAGGGUUUUUUACGUUAUAGAUUAUUAUUCCGUAAAUGAUAACUAUAUCGUAGUCUCAUUGUUGGAAAGAAAGAAAGGACUAACUUUGCUGGUAUUAAUUUUUUUUUAUACAACCCCACGUAACUCCCAACGAAACGUUCAGAUAAAAUUUCCCUCUUUUUUUUAAAUACGUGACUAGUUAAUAAUCUGAAUCCGUAUUCGUAUACUGUACACGGGACUGAAAGAUAAUACCUUCAUUGUAAAUGUAGAUUUAUCAUUUCGCGAGAUUCGUCAAUUUACCACCUAACACGUUUUACUCUGUUCUAACGAAAGUAAAAAAUACUGUGUACCCAAGAAAUUAGGUAUUUUCCUUUAGGGAAUCUGUCGUUGAGAUUAAUUAUUAAGAACACGUCAUGAUUAAACACAUUGUGAUAAAGUUGACCCUUGUGGUGUAUAGCGAGUUUCACUAAUAGGGGUUGACAAGGGUCACAGGAACCCCAGCAACCAAUUUGUCGUUUUCACCCAGAAAUUUAAGGGUUCUGAAUUCAAGUGUAUAGUAGGAAAAAAGAGGAUAUCCCAACAGACUCCAGAUCUUUUGCGUCAACACGGGAACAUCCGAUUCCGUGACAGAUUUCCAAUGGCUCAUCAAACGAUAACGUGAAUGUCAUGGCAGUGUUGUUAAUAUACUAAAGAAAAAGAAAAAAGAAUUUUACCCAUUGGAAUUGUAUAAUAUGCCUGAUAACGACAGGCCUUCAAUUUCCUACUGACAAUACGUUAUUACAUUCAGUCAUAUACGUACAAUGAAAAAUCUCUUUUAUGUAUAUAUAAAAUCGCAGUUAUAAUCCAGACCUUGUACAAGCCUUUAACCUGGCAAGAAUAACUUGGAAAAUAUUUAACGUCAAUGGAUCGAGCCGAUUAUCAAUAAACAAUUAGUUCGCUGGUAUUGAAGUGGGUUAAUGGAGAAGGUUCGAAGGACGAGAAAGGGCUGCAAGGAACGGGAAGUUGUGAAGAAGGGUAUAAAGGGCCCGGAAGUAGUGGUGAGGGAACUUCUUGAAUGAUGAUUUUGCCAAGUGACACAGUAUGAUUUGGAGUAGCAACGCACCUUAUCUGGAAUCUGAGAUAAUCUUGAACGAAGAUGAGGGGUACCUUGUAAAAAGCACGUGCUCUAUCACAGGGAAUAUUCUGGGUUUGUAUUUUCGAAGCUUUCGGUUAGGCAUCAAUAGUCCUAACCAAUACCAAUGCUAGUACCAAUAUACCAAUAAUGUAGAAGAAGAUGGCUGUUUCCUGUCGAGAUUCGAAUAGCAGUUCAAGUGGAGCUAAGAUCUGCUGGUAGCCUCUCAUAUUGCGUGGAAUUGCAGCUUUGUUUGACCUGCGUUCCAGAUGGAACGAGAAUGACAGAAUCAUUCUUAUAGUAAAUGGCAAAUAGGACGCAAUAUCACCGCUCUCGAUGAUAUCGAUAACCGCAAGGAACAUCUUUGAGGAGCAACCACUUUAUUCGUGCUUGGACUCAGCAAACUUCGAAAAUGAACGUCAUACUCAUUAUCUGGGGUCCUCUUCGUCUGAUACUGAUUCCACGACGCCAGCUUGCAGUGUCUUUAUUAUUAUUGAGAAGUUGAUAAGAUUCCAUGGACGCUUCUUCAUUCUGUUUUAAUUGAUAACAUUGGACGAGUUUAAAUGACGUUUAAUUGAAACGAGUACAUUUGACUAUGCAGUAAUUGAACUUGUACGUCUAUCUUCAAAGAAACUCAUGUGAUGAAAUCAGCAAGCUAUUUGCAAUUGGGAAACCAGACAAAGCGACAAAAGAGAAGCGAAGAAAAAUGUAAAUUUAACACUUCUUCAAGGCAACACAUUAUUUACUCAUUUAAGUUGGAGAAAGGAAGUGUUCCUCUUUACUAGACGCACAGGAAAUACACGUUAAAGAGCAACUGACGAAUGGUAUAAAGUCUUCAGGGUGAACUUCUUCCACAUUAUGGGAUCGACUGCCUAGUAUCAGAGGCGAUAAAUCGCGUCGCGAAGUAAAUUGAUCCGUUAAAGAAAACUGUCCUAAUGUAAUUUAACGUGGAUUCGAAAGGGAUGAAGAUUCUUGUCUUGGGAGGAAAGAGAAAAGUUUCCCAUAUGAGGGUGACGUUACGAACGGGAUGGAGUUCGACAGCAGACGUAGAAGAGGGAUACAUUGUUGGAAGAGUAUUUCCCUUAACAACCCCCUUCGCUGAAUUUUAUUUCAAUUCUUGCUACGUUUUUUUUUUUCCAGUCUAGACGGGAAGUCGGUCAUUACAAUAGCGGCUUGCUACUUGCUAUACUGCAAUUUCUGCAAUGCUCGAUGCUGUAUAUAUAGUGCAUAUUAUUGCUGUACAACGUAUCACACAUGUCUACUAUAUUAUGUAUACAAUAAUCAUACAAUACUUUACAAUAAUGCCAUCCAAUCCAGAUACCGGUUCGCAAGCUGAUUCUGUAUUGAAUUGGAGUAACCAAAUGAAAAUGUUAAUAUUUUUAUAUUAUAUUUCAAGAAAUUGUAAACAUCGACGGGGACCAUUUAUAACAGCAUUAUCAUAUGACCAAAAUGGAGAUAGGCAUAUUAGUUUCACUGUACUUGACAGUGUUUAAUAAGUUAUUCAGUCGACAGUAUGCAUCACACGUGUGACACGUGUAUCACACGCAAGUAUUACUGAGACUUAUCUCUCAAUGCGAGGUAUUGUAAAUCCACGCUACUCCACAUGCAAUUUGAUGUCGUUCCAUGCAAUGGUAAGGAGUUGACGAGGAGCGAGGGUUGCGUGACUGGAAAAGAUCAGUUCAUUGGUACGAUUGGUUCCGUGUAUACGUGACGUAUCUAUAAUACAUGCACGCCAUCUCUGCUUCCUCGUGUAUCAUUUACAACCCCAGUACUGCCAUGAUCUGAUAAUUCUAUCUUGUACUGUAACAAGAUACUUAUUGUAAUCAAAUGGAAAUGUUGCCCUUAGCAUACAGGAUGUCUGUCAGCUACUGUAAGGAAUUAUGAUUUAUGGCAUUGUUCGUUUCCAUAUCAUAGGACGACAUCUUGACCCUUUGGACUGAGACUCAAAGUUCCUUAAAAUCUCAAACGAAGUGGUUCAGAGUGGUUCGGAGUGUCUCAUUCAUUACUGUUGAAGAUGGUGCAAUACAAGGAAGUAACCUCAGGAAAGUAGUGAAUGGUUAGAAGUUUUUGAAGAAAGCAAAACUCGAGUGCAUCUCUACACCAUUGUAUAUUCCUUUUCAUCUUAGCGUCAGUGUACAAUGGUGAAAAAUAUAGUAUCCGGUUACCUCCAGCACGUCUGAGAGACACGUAAGACAUUAAUGUAUAUUUAUGUUUGAAAAGUCUCAUACUGACAGUAUGACUUCUCAUACUGAACAAUUUAAGCUUAUCUCUAUCACAAAUGGCAACCGAAUAAGGUACAUAUAUCAGUAACGUUUUAUGAUACUCGGUGGUUCUUUUAGACGCACAGGUAUUGUACACCCGACAGUGUCAUAAUCUCUUGACAGGCUUUUCUUGAGUCUCCUAACUUUCAGCGAGCGUCCCGACGGCUGAAAAUAAAACAAAACGAAAUUAGUUUCUAUGGAGACAGGAUGUCGGGCUUGGGCGUGCGAUAGCGCUGUGACGUAAUAUCGUGUCUCAACUUCGUUGUCUGUUAUUGCCAUCGUGUUGCUGGUUAAAUAGACGGCAGUACUAGUCUUCGUCUGCAGACGUACAAGCCGCUGUUCUUGCGGACGGUGGAUCAGGAGAAAUAGAGAAGUAACAUAGAAAUAAACCUGUAUGGAUAAACGAGAGUGGAAUUGUUCCCAAAGGUGCCAAUAUGUAAGAAAGUUUAUGAGAAUGGAAAGCACCGCGAGGAACGCCAGGAGAGAGAAAAGUUUUCGCGUGCCGUAUAAAAGGUACAAAAGGCACAGAUGGGCACUGAGAAGCGUAAAAAUUUCUUGGGUACUUCGCGCCAAGUUUCAAAGAGUACAAGAAGUACACGUAAAACUUCCUAGUUAUGAUGGCAGCACAAUAAAGGAACUAGAAAAGAAUACAGAUCAAAACGAAGACAAAGGCGAGCACGCAAGAUCCCGAGAAGAAGAAAUACACUGAGUGCGUGCCAAGUGCAUCGCCAAUGACUUGAUAGAGUUUUGACACAGCAAAUCCAAGAAUACCGUCG